RNAcentral lists this ribosomal RNA (313 nucleotides) under uncultured bacterium. RNAcentral's name for it is "bacterial SSU rRNA". It matches the Rfam family "Bacterial small subunit ribosomal RNA", at positions 28 to 334 of the family's 1533-position model. The record is from RNAcentral.
GAUGAACGCUGGCGGCGUGCUUAACACAUGCAAGUCGAACGGACUCAUAUUGAAACCUAGUGAAGUAUGAGUUAGUGGCGGACGGGUGAGUAACGCGUGGAAAACCUGCCGUAUACUGGGGGAUAACACUUAGAAAUAGGUGCUAAUACCGCAUAAGCGCACAGUGUCGCAUGACGCAGUGUGAAAAACUUCGGUGGUAUACGAUGGACCCGCGUCUGAUUAGCCAGUUGGCAGGGUAACGGCCUACCAAAGCGACGAUCAGUAGCCGGCCUGAGAGGGUGAACGGCCACAUUGGGACUGAGACACGGCCCAA